Molecule: ribosomal RNA, 635 nt
Filed under: uncultured Marinobacter sp.
Lineage: Bacteria; Pseudomonadati; Pseudomonadota; Gammaproteobacteria; Pseudomonadales; Marinobacteraceae
Description: bacterial SSU rRNA
Rfam family: Bacterial small subunit ribosomal RNA
Source: RNAcentral
CGCCUGGGGAGUGCGGCCGCAAGGUUAAAACUCAAAUGAAUUGACGGGGGCCCGCACAAGCGGUGGAGCAUGUGGUUUAAUUCGACGCAACGCGAAGAACCUUACCUGGCCUUGACAUCCAGAGAGCUUUCCAGAGAUGGAUUGGUGCCUUCGGGAACUCUGAGACAGGUGCUGCAUGGCCGUCGUCAGCUCGUGUCGUGAGAUGUUGGGUUAAGUCCCGUAACGAGCGCAACCCCUAUCCCUGGUUGCUAGCAGGUAAUGCUGAGAACUCCAGGGAGACUGCCGGUGACAAACCGGAGGAAGGUGGGGAUGACGUCAGGUCAUCAUGGCCCUUACGGCCAGGGCUACACACGUGCUACAAUGGCACGUACAGAGGGCUGCCAACUCGCGAGAGUGAGCCAAUCCCUUAAAACGCGUCGUAGUCCGGAUCGGAGUCUGCAACUCGACUCCGUGAAGUCGGAAUCGCUAGUAAUCGCGAAUCAGAAUGUCGCGGUGAAUACGUUCCCGGGCCUUGUACACACCGCCCGUCACACCAUGGGAGUGGAUUGCACCAGAAGUAGUUAGUCUAACCUUCGGGAGGACGAUUACCACGGUGUGGUUCAUGACUGGGGUGAAGUCGUAACAAGGUAACCGUA